Molecule: transfer RNA, 62 nt
Filed under: Phocanema krabbei
Lineage: Eukaryota; Metazoa; Nematoda; Chromadorea; Rhabditida; Anisakidae
Also listed under: 4 other names
Description: Pseudoterranova krabbei tRNA-Ile
Source: RNAcentral
AUUAUUUUAGUAAAAGUUAAUUAUAUCGUCUUGAUAAGGCGGGGUUCCUUGGGGGAAUAAUA